UAGCUCUCAGGAAGGUAAAUAGUUGACGUAAAAGCCGAUACCGAAACGAACGAUUGAACGAUACUCCCGGGCCAAUAUGUUUUUAAGUGGAUGUUCCGUGAAGGAUAAUACUGGAGUCGUGUGAAUCAAACAGAGUUCUCGUUGUCAUCGAAGCUCACAUUUUUGGAAACCUGGAAAUAAAAGAGUUUUUCUCUGCCACUGACUCCUGAUUUCGAUCCAAUGAGUCUCAUUUCCCGAAAUUUGUUGCGACACUUGGAAAGUCAACACCCAAUAAUUUUCCGCCAUUAAUCGCUAAACUUUUCCCAUUCGGAGCGAAUGACACGAAUCUACUUUUGCUUAUGCAUACACGUGGGGAUCCGAGAUGCCAGGUGAUUUUAAUAGAUCUCAAUUUCGGAAAAUCAAGUGCUGACCAAUGGCUUUCGUACCAAAGAUUUGUGUAUGGAACUUAGUAUAGCCAUUUAGUCGU
Malaya genurostris is the source of this 466-nucleotide long non-coding RNA. RefSeq lists it as uncharacterized. NCBI's taxonomy places the organism in Eukaryota, Metazoa, Arthropoda, Insecta, Diptera, Culicidae. The transcript has 4 exons. The record is from RefSeq and is a predicted model, not a curated record.